GACGAACGCUGGCGGCGUGCUUAACACAUGCAAGUCGAACGGAAAGGCCCUGCUUUUGUGGGGUGCUCGAGUGGCGAACGGGUGAGUAACACGUGAGUAACCUGCCCUUGACUUUGGGAUAACUUCAGGAAACUGGGGCUAAUACCGGAUAGGAGCUCCUGCUGCAUGGUGGGGGUGGGAAAGUUUCGGCGGUUGGGGAUGGACUCGCGGCUUAGCAGCUUGUUGGUGGGGUAGUGGCUUACCAAGGCUUUGACGGGUAGCCGGCCUGAGAGGGUGACCGGCCACAUUGGGACUGAGAUACGGCCCAGACUCCUACGGGAGGCAGCAGUGGGGAAUAUUGCACAAUGGGCGGAAGCCUGAUGCAGCAACGCCGCGUGCGGGAUGACGGCCUUCGGGUUGUAAACCGCUUUCGCCUGUGACGAAGCGUGAGUGACGGUAAUGGGUAAAGAAGCACCGGCUAACUACGUG
Molecule: ribosomal RNA, 468 nt
Filed under: uncultured bacterium
Lineage: Bacteria
Description: partial 16S ribosomal RNA
Rfam family: Bacterial small subunit ribosomal RNA
Source: RNAcentral